GGGGUUGUGGCUCAGCAGUAGAGCACUCGUCUAGCAAGUGCAGGGCUCUGAGUUCAAUCCUCAGCACCACA
RNAcentral lists this transfer RNA (71 nucleotides) under Marmota monax (woodchuck). RNAcentral's name for it is "tRNA.Ala". Lineage: Eukaryota; Metazoa; Chordata; Mammalia; Rodentia; Sciuridae. The record is from RNAcentral.